AUGAACGCUGGCGGCGUGCCUAAUACAUGCAAGUCGAGCGAACAGACGAGGAGCUUGCUCCUCUGACGUUAGCGGCGGACGGGUGAGUAACACGUGGAUAACCUACCUAUAAGACUGGGAUAACUUCGGGAAACCGGAGCUAAUACCGGAUAAUAUAUUGAACCGCAUGGUUCAAUAGUGAAAGACGGUUUUGCUGUCACUUAUAGAUGGAUCCGCGCCGCAUUAGCUAGUUGGUAAGGUAACGGCUUACCAAGGCAACGAUGCGUAGCCGACCUGAGAGGGUGAUCGGCCACACUGGAACUGAGACACGGUCCAGACUCCUACGGGAGGCAGCAGUAGGGAAUCUUCCGCAAAGGGCGAAAGCCUGACGGAGCAACGCCGCGUGAGUGAUGAAGGUCUUCGGAUCGUAAAACUCUGUUAUUAGGGAAGAACAAAUGUGUAAGUAACAAUGCACGUCUUGACGGUACCUAAUCAGAAAGCCACGGCUAACUACGUG
This 496-nucleotide ribosomal RNA is filed under the name uncultured bacterium. Its description in RNAcentral is "partial 16S ribosomal RNA". It matches the Rfam family "Bacterial small subunit ribosomal RNA", at positions 29 to 507 of the family's 1533-position model. The record is from RNAcentral.